Molecule: ribosomal RNA, 328 nt
Filed under: uncultured Glomus
Lineage: Eukaryota; Fungi; Glomeromycota; Glomeromycetes; Glomerales; Glomeraceae
Description: SSU rRNA
Rfam family: Eukaryotic small subunit ribosomal RNA
Source: RNAcentral
AGCAGCCGCGGUAAUUCCAGCUCCAAUAGCGUAUAUUAAAGUUGUUGCAGUUAAAAAGCUCGUAGUUGAAUUUCGAGAUCAAAUUGUUGGUCGUGCCUUGGUACGCACUGGCAUUAUUGGUUUCUCCCUUCUGAAGAACCAUGAUGUCAUUAAUUUGGUGUCAUGGGGAAUCAGGACUGUUACUUUGAAAAAUUGAGUGUUUAAAGCAGGCUCGCGCUUGAAUACAUUAGCAUGGAAUAAUGAAAUAGGACGUUUGAUUCUAUUUGUUGUUUCUAGGAUCGACGUAAUGAUUAAUAGGGAUAGUUGGGGCAUUAGAUUCAAUUGUCAG